GAUGAACGCUGGCGGCGUGCCUAAUACAUGCAAGUCGAGCGAACAGACGAGGAGCUUGCUCCUCUGACGUUAGCGGCGGACGGGUGAGUAACACGUGGAUAACCUACCUAUAAGACUGGGAUAACUUCGGGAAACCGGAGCUAAUACCGGAUAAUAUAUUGAACCGCAUGGUUCAAUAGUUAAAGACGGUUUUGCUGUCACUUAUAGAUGGAUCCGCGCCGCAUUAGCUAGUUGGUAAGGUAACGGCUUACCAAGGCAACGAUGCGUAGCCGACCUGAGAGGGUGAUCGGCCACACUGGAACUGAGACACGGUCCAGACUCCUACGGGAGGCAGCAGUAGGGAAUCUUCCGCAAUGGGCGAAAGCCUGACGGAGCAACGCCGCGUGAGUGAUGAAGGUCUUCGGAUCGUAAAACUCUGUUAUUAGGGAAGAACAAAUGUGUAAGUAAUUAUGCACGUCUUGACGGUACCUAAUCAGAAAGCCACGGCUAACUACGUG
This 497-nucleotide ribosomal RNA is filed under the name uncultured bacterium. RNAcentral describes it as "partial 16S ribosomal RNA". It matches the Rfam family "Bacterial small subunit ribosomal RNA", at positions 28 to 507 of the family's 1533-position model. The record is from RNAcentral.